CGUUUUGUUGAUUAUUGGCCAUUGAUUCUGAUUUUUUCAUAGCUUUCCUCUGGGCUUUUUUUUCUUUCUUAAAGUUUGUUCAAGUUUUGGAUCGAAAGACAAAAACUCAUGUUCUAAGACUUCCUAAUUUCAGUAAAGAAUUUGAUGUUGAAACUAAUGCUUCAUCUGUGGUUAUUGGCGUCGUUCUCUUUCAGGCAUGCCACCCCACAUACAACAUGCCUCAGCCUAUGUCCAUGAAAUGUAUGAUGUCAUAGAAGCAGUAAAAAAUGGUGUCAAUACUUAAUUAGUAGACCAUUCACAAUUCUCACAUAUCAAUAAAGCUUCAAACAUUUAAUGACACAAGGCUUACACACAUCAGAACAAUAGAAAUGGGUGACAAAAUUGAUUGGUUCCAAUAUGAGAUAAAGUACAGAACAUGUACCUCUAAUAGGG
This 432-nucleotide long non-coding RNA is filed under the name Lupinus angustifolius (narrow-leaved blue lupine). RNAcentral describes it as "long non-coding RNA (LANG_LNC002626)". Lineage: Eukaryota; Viridiplantae; Streptophyta; Magnoliopsida; Fabales; Fabaceae. The record is from RNAcentral.